This 873-nucleotide long non-coding RNA is filed under the name Olea europaea subsp. europaea. Lineage: Eukaryota; Viridiplantae; Streptophyta; Magnoliopsida; Lamiales; Oleaceae. The record is from RNAcentral.
CUUCAUAUGGCCAUUGUCCACUUUACUCUUCCAUGAAGUAUUUUGCCUAUUUACAAUGUGGGGUUUGGUACAAGAAUCGGUAUUUUAUAAGUAUCGGUGGAGCAAUCUUAUUUUGAAUGGCGUUAAGUUAUAUUUUCUGUUUUCUUCUUAUCAUUUACUCUUCCGUUUUACUUUAGUUUCUUAUAGAGAAUCAAUUCAUGUUUGCAGGUUGGCCGUUCCAUCGUGAAAUAGAUUUGAUGCAGAACCUUGAGGCUGUAUAUGUAUUUUGGUUCGUAGAGGUUGUAAUUUGGAUAUAGUGGCAUCAUCAUAUUUUCCUUUCAUCCAUUUCUGCAGAGAAGCCGAAGAGUCUGAUAUGCUUUCAUCUUGUCAUCUGCUUCGUCUUCUCCAACUGUUGUAAGUAACCAAUUGUUUUCAUACUGCGUUUACAGAUUCUUGUAAUAUGCCUUUGCUGUAUCUUUCCGGAGUAAAUAUGAUGGGUAAUAGCUUUACACAUUGUGCAAAUUUUGUCAUUCUUUGGUUUUUUGGGAACUGGGCUGGCUUGAAUUUUGUUACUUCUGAUGCCAGAUUAUCAAUUUUGUUGAUGUGUUUCAUCUGCCAUGUACGGCUUGACCACCCUACUGGAUUAUUGGCAAUUGAUAUAAUUCUUAAACUCCACUCUAUAAUUUUUCUAUUUGGACAAAAGUUUGAUUGAGGAUGUGACCAUAGGGGAUGCGGAUGUGGAACGGCCAUAUGGGACAAUUAAAUCUUUCAAGCAAUAGUCAUUGGCAUCUUUAUGUUCCAAGCCAUCAAUUGACACAGUAGUUAGGGCAUCUCCAACCACAACACCAGCACCAUUUUGCACCAUUUUUUGGUGCAAAAUUGCUCCAACCCAAC